AUGUCUAUCCGUCUCUUUUCAGUCUCUCCAUCUGUCUUUCUGUCUUUUUAUCUGUCGGUCCAGCUAUUUUCUAUCUGUCUGUCUAUUUAUCUGUCUAUCUGUCUCUUUUCUGUCUGUCUGUCUGUCUAUUUAUCUGUCUAUCUGUCUCUUUUCUCUGUCUGUCUGUCUAUUUAUCUGUCUAUCUGUCUCUUUUCUGUCUGUCUGUCUGUCUAUUUAUCUGUCUAUCUGUCUCUUUUCUCUGUCUGUCUGUCUAUUUAUCUGUCUAUCUGUCUCUUUUCUAUCUGUCUGUCUGUCUAUUUAUCUGUCUAUCUCUCUUUCUAUCUGUCUGUCUGUCUAUUUAUCUGUCUAUCUGUCUCUUUUCUCUGUCUGUCUGUCUAUUUAUCUGUCUCUGUCUCUUUUCUGUCUGUCUGUCUAUUUAUCUGUCUCUGUCUCUUUUCUAUCUGUCUGUCUAUUUAUCUGUCUAUCUGUCUCUUUUCUAUCUGUCUGUCUGUCUAUUUAUCUGUCUCUUUUCUAUCUGUCUGUCUGUCUAUUUAUCUGUCUAUCUGUCUCUUUUCUAUCUAUCUGUCUGUCUAUUCAUCUGUCUAUCUGUCUCUUUUCUAUCUGUCUGUCUAUUUAUCUGUCUAUCUGUCUCUUUUCUAUCUGUCUGUCUGUCUAUUUAUCUGUCUCUUUUCUAUCUGUCUGUCUGUCUAUUUAUCUGUCUAUCUGUCUCUUUUCUAUCUGUCUGUCUGUGUAUUUAUCUGUCUCUUUUCUAUCUGUCUGUCUGUCUAUUUAUCUGUCUAUCUGUCUCUUUUCUAUCUGUCUGUCUAUUUAUCUGUCUAUCUGUCUCUUUUCUAUCUGUCUGUCUGUCUAUUUAUCUGUCUAUCUGUCUCUUUUCUAUCUGUCUGUCUAUUCAUCUGUCUAUCUGUCUCUUUUCUAUCUGUCUGUCUGUGUAUUUAUCUGUCUCUUUUCUAUCUGUCUGUCUGUCUAUUUAUCUGUCUAUCUGUCUCUUUUCUAUCUGUCUGUCUAUUCAUCUGUCUAUCUGUCUCUUUUCUAUCUGUCUGUCUGUGUAUUUAUCUAUCUGUCUCUUUUCUCUGUCUGUCUGUCUAUUUAUCUGUCUAUCUGUCUCUUUUCUAUCUGUCUGUCUGUGUAUUUAUCUCUCUUUUCUAUCUGUCUGUCUAUUUAUCUGUCUAUCUGUCUCUUUUCUAUCUCUCUGUCUAUUUAUCUGUCUAUCUGUCUCUUUUCUAUCUGUCUGUCUGUGUAUUUAUCUGUCUAUCCGUCUCUUUUUUUAUCUCUCCAUCAGUCUUUCUGUCUUUUUAUGUCUCUCCAUCUAUUAUCUAUCCCUCUAUCUGUCUAUCGGUCUCUUUUCUAUCCGUCUGUCUAUCUAUUUAUCUCUUUAUCCGUCUCUUUUUUUUAUCUGUCUAUUUAUCUGUCUGUUCGUCUGUUUUCAAUCUCUCCAUCUGUCUUUUUAUCUGUCUGUCCAUCUCUUUUCUAUCUGUCUGUCUGUCUGUCCGUCUAUUUAUCUGUCUAUCUGUCUCUUUUCAAUGUCUUUCUGUCUUUUUAUUUUUUUAUGUCUGUCCAUCUAUUUUCUACCCACUGUCUGUCUCUGUCUUUUCAUCUCUCUAUUUGUCUAUCCAUUCAUCCAUCUUGAUCCUGUUAGCAGUGUUCACUGUCAGUUCAGUCAUCAAAUGGUAA
This is a long non-coding RNA of Carassius auratus (goldfish), 1671 nucleotides long. The record is from Ensembl. Lineage: Eukaryota; Metazoa; Chordata; Actinopteri; Cypriniformes; Cyprinidae.